Molecule: long non-coding RNA, 858 nt
Filed under: Homo sapiens (human)
Lineage: Eukaryota; Metazoa; Chordata; Mammalia; Primates; Hominidae
Description: HSALNT0297519
Source: RNAcentral
AGCAAAGAAAGCAGACUUGUGAGGGCGUCUGGUGGCACUUUCAGGUCCCAGUCAGCUGCUCGUGGGGAUUGAGGGACGUGGGUGGGUGGCUGGGGGGUGAGCGGCCGAGGGCCCAUAUCCGGGACGGAGGGAGGGUCACCUGCCUGCCUUUGCACGCCCAGCCGGCGCUGUCUCCCUCCUCCCCGAAGCUUCCUUGCUGGACAGGUCUGACUCCAGGCAGCCCGUGUGGGAUCGCCUUGGCCGCAACGGUCCCGGGUGGAAAGGCAUCACCGUUGUCCCCUUACCCUCACCACCAAGCAUAUUGAGGAAGAGGGACUUGCAAACGUGAGAAGGUGCAAAAAUCAUCCACCUAACUUCUGAGGCAGAACAGACUAUGAACUGAAGACAGUGCUGUAUUGCAGUGUGUGCCCCAAAAGGGACCAGCUGACCUUGCAGGCCCGGAGGUGCUAAUGAGAGAAUGAAAAGGGCCCCGGGAAGCAGGAGACGUAAAUCGCACACCUUCUCCCCAUGUAACAAUAAUGCCCAAACCGCCACAAAGCAAGGGUCUGGACGAUAGGGUCUCACUUUUCCAACCAUAGCUCAGUUACACAAGGGAGAAAGGGCAGAGGCAGAUCUACCCCUCACACAUUUUCUACCCCUCACACAUUUUCCUUUGGCCUCAUACUCAAUUCCCCAGUCCUGUUUAUCUCAGUUUCCAUUGUGUAACCUAGAUGAAUGCCUCCUGUUCUAGUAAUGGCCAUAAUAAUAUUUAAUCACAUUUAUUGUGUACUUUCUAAGAGCUGGGUACCCUUCUGAGCACCUCACAAAAAUCAAUCCUCCCAACAAUACCGACUAGGAACUACUUUUAUCUUAUUUUAA